Long non-coding RNA from Malaclemys terrapin pileata, 962 nucleotides. RefSeq lists it as uncharacterized. The record is from RefSeq and is a predicted model, not a curated record. NCBI's taxonomy places the organism in Eukaryota, Metazoa, Chordata, Testudines, Emydidae. The transcript has 5 exons.
UCUCUAUUGUUGUGUGCACUCCUCAAUAAAGAGCUUGUCACUGGACCUUGCUGGUGUUGCCUGUCUCUCUCUGCAAUCAGACAACGAACCUUGCCAUCUGGGUUCUGAGUUCCCGACAAAUUUGGCAACUCCGCCGGGACUCGUCUGACUCUCCGGUGCGGGAUCAGACUCCGAAGCAAUGCAGCGUGCAUCCUCUGGCUUUGAGGAGCCUUGCCCGGUAACCUGAUCCCUGUGUCGGCGAUAAGGUGGGUCCAGUGAACCAGCUGAAGCCUGUAGAAACCCAGCAACAUCCGCCUACCCGUUGAGUAGGAUCCAGGUCUUCAGGGUUCGAGUCCCUGGAUAAGCUCCCACAGGCAGCCAAAGCUACUUGAAUGUGGCUGAAGCUGAUGCAAGUGGCAUCUUGUGGCUAUCACUUUUACCACAUGAAUGAUUCAACCAUUAAGGAAUGUUAGUGCAUUUAACACUUGGCAGACCCCCCUCCAUCAAAGAUUGAGUCAUUCAACAGGCUCCAACUUUUAAGCUCUGGAGAAGCCUGUCAAAUGGCUUUGGUGACAGAUUUCAGGGGAUCACACCUAAUACAGGAGAAGAUUUCAGCUGCAGAUGGGGAAGGUUUGAGAGAAGCUGAAGGAAAUGGAAAGAAAGUAUAAUUUUGGAGUGGUACUACCUGUCACCAGCUCAAAUGAUAUGUCAACAUUGCAGUGUAAACCCAGAAGACAUGUUGGCCCAGAUCCUCAGAUGGGGUAAAAUGGGGCAGCAAAUCAGUGGAGCUACCCAAGCAGCUAAGAGUCUUGCCCAUUAAAUUUAAAGAAUAACAUAUACUGUAUUUAAUAUGAUAGCACCCCAACUUUUUCAGUUGACUUCUUGCUGAUUGAAUGCCUUGUCUUUCUCAAAGGUAAGUUAAGCUAUUAAUUGGGGAGUAAGUGACCAAAAUUCAGAAUAUUAAAAUGGUCAGAGUAGUACAG